RNAcentral lists this long non-coding RNA (553 nucleotides) under Calidris pugnax (ruff). RNAcentral's name for it is "lncRNA (ENSCPUG00000019248.1)". Lineage: Eukaryota; Metazoa; Chordata; Aves; Charadriiformes; Scolopacidae. The record is from RNAcentral.
CUUUUUUUUUUUUAAAGACAGGAUGAAAUGAUAGCAAAUCCAACUUUGUUUACAGUUAAUUUUAUUUUUUUUUUUCAAGAAUGAUCAUUAUAAAUUGCCCUAUCAAUAUUAAGCAUUAUCCUUGGAGACCUGUUGGACAGAACUAGUCCCGAACUGGAGGAGGAGCAGAGGAGACAUUAUGCUCUUAUCUGUUUGUGCAGAAGCCUGGGGUGCUUGUAAUAACAGCAGUACUGGACUGUGCACAGAGAGCCUGUUCUGAAAGUGUUGGUUCACAUUCUCCUGUAUGAGGUAGGGAAGAAAACAGUUGAGCUUUUGCACAGUGUGCUUGCUAAGCUGUCAUCAGGUACAGAAGAUCUGAAGAUAAAGAAGCUUUUGAAGACAGUGAAACAGACAGAAAUACUGGUAAAUGCAGAGUAAGUGUAGAUAUCUGUAUUCUAUUAUUUAGGUCCUUGUUUAAAUCACUCUAACACCUCACAUGCACUUAUUCAAGAAGUGUUACUGCUCCGGCAACUCCCAGUCCCAAGCUGAAGAAACAGAUAGUAGUGAAAGUUAC